This 393-nucleotide ribosomal RNA is filed under the name uncultured bacterium. Its description in RNAcentral is "partial 16S ribosomal RNA". It matches the Rfam family "Bacterial small subunit ribosomal RNA", at positions 523 to 918 of the family's 1533-position model. The record is from RNAcentral.
AUACGGAGGAUCCGAGCGUUAUCCGGAUUUAUUGGGUUUAAAGGGUGCGCAGGCGGGAGAUUAAGUCGGCGGUGAAAUUUUUCAGCUCAACUGUAAAAGUGCCUUUGAAACUGGUUUCCUUGAGUGUAGAUGAAGUAGGCGGAAUUUGUGGUGUUGCGGUGAAAUGCAUAGAUAUCACGAGGAACUCCGAUUGCGCAGGCAGCUUACUAAACUACUACUGACGCUCAGGCACGAAGGCGUGGGGAUCAAACAGGAUUAGAUACCCUGGUAGUCCACGCAGUAAACGAUGAUUACUAGCUGUUUGCGAUACAAUGUAAGCGGCUGAGCGAAAGCGUUAAGUAAUCCACCUGGGGAGUACGUUCGCAAGAAUGAAACUCAAAGGAAUUGGCGGGG